CCUUCGGGUUGUAAGCUCCUUCAGACGGAAAGAAACGGUUAACGAGAUAACAACCUGUGACUAAUGACGGUACCGUCAGAAGAAGCACCGGCUAACUACGUGC
RNAcentral lists this ribosomal RNA (103 nucleotides) under uncultured bacterium. Its description in RNAcentral is "partial 16S ribosomal RNA". The record is from RNAcentral.